This 431-nucleotide ribosomal RNA is filed under the name uncultured bacterium. RNAcentral describes it as "bacterial SSU rRNA". It matches the Rfam family "Bacterial small subunit ribosomal RNA", at positions 29 to 506 of the family's 1533-position model. The record is from RNAcentral.
ACGAACGCUGGCGGCAGGCCUAACACAUGCAAGUCGAACGCUGUAGCAAUACAGAGUGGCAGACGGGUGAGUAACGCGUGGGAAUCUUCCUAUCGGUACGGAAUAGCUCAGGGAAACUUGGGGUAAUACCGCAUACGCCCUUCGGGGGAAAGAUUUAUCGCCGAUAGAUGAGCCCGCGUCUGAUUAGCUAGUUGGUGAGGUAAUGGCUCACCAAGGCGACGAUCAGUAGCUGGUCUGAGAGGAUGACCAGCCACACUGGGACUGAGACACGGCCCAGACUCCUACGGGAGGCAGCAGUGGGGAAUAUUGGACAAUGGGCGCAAGCCUGAUCCAGCCAUGCCGCGUGAGUGACGAAGGUCUUCGGAUUGUAAAGCUCUUUUGGCGGGGACGAUAAUGACGGUACCCGCAGAAUAAGCCCCGGCUAACUUCGU